UGGUUUGGCUCCCUAUUUAUAACUAAUGUGUACAACCCUUUGUUUCCUUAUUUAGAUGGAGUCUUUUUCCUAUUUGGAGUUUGAUUCUUUGAAGGCAAUUGAAUCUUCUUGAGAUUUGGCUUCCUUAAUAUGCGGGAUAGGGUGCUGAGUUGUCUUGAAGGGUUGCUGAGCUGUUUUCACGUGUUUGGGGAAUGAUAGAUUUCUUGAAGGUUUGAAUUUUAAAUCUCCUGCGUUUCUGCUAUCUGUUAUCGCAGGUUCUG
RNAcentral lists this long non-coding RNA (260 nucleotides) under Manihot esculenta (cassava). RNAcentral describes it as "long non-coding RNA (MESC_LNC012484)". The record is from RNAcentral. Lineage: Eukaryota; Viridiplantae; Streptophyta; Magnoliopsida; Malpighiales; Euphorbiaceae.